UUUCUCUCUCUCUACUUUCUCCCUCAGGAAAACUCUCUCUCGGCACUACCGUCCCCGUGUCCGAUUUUCCUUCCUUUGGUGGCCAAAUCCCACAUAUAAUCCCUCCAAAACCACCUGAUCUAGGUGUAAUUGUGGCUGCUACUUCAUCGACUACCCAUGUGCUCUCUAAAUUGGAGAUUUCCAGAUCCACCGCCGGAGAAGCAGAUCCAGAACCCAACCAGAUCCCUGCCGGCAGAACCAGAUCCACCGCCAGAACUCCGACGAACCCUUCGACGUCCAUUCCGACACCAUUAACGGUAAUUAUUUCUACCAUUCCACUCGUUUUUUGAUUCUAAACAAAACCCCUCUGUCAAUUUGCCAUGACAGAGGGGAUUCAACAAUCAAUUUGGUGGAUUUGAAAUCUAGGGUGCUUGAGGAUUUGGGGUUAGUUUCAGUCACCAACGCAGGUGAUGGUGAUGGUGGUGGUGGUCGAGUGCAGAUGGUAGUGGUGGUGGUGGCGGUGGUGGUUCCCAAUCCAAAUUCCCCCCAUUCAAAAUUUUGUGCUCUCAAACAUUCAUCUCUCUUCCCUCUCGAUCCGUUCGUUUCCAGGAAAAACUUCCACCGACGAACCACAACACCAGACUGACCAAUAAACUACUACUCUCUGCGACUGCCAUUUAGAGACCGAAACAAAGGGGUUUACCCGGACUGAAUCGAGACCGGUGAAGGGAACUUCCUGUGAAUGAUUUUAACUUUUAAUAUGCACUCUUUUGUUAAGGUCUGCCUGCCUGCUGAAAUUCACUAUUAUGCUAGGUUUGAAGUGCUGCGAUUUUGGGUGCAGUUGACCUUGUUGCAUAUGAUUGAUGAUGUUGAGAGUCUAUGCAUAUCAAGUGUUCGAAGAAA
Helianthus annuus (common sunflower) is the source of this 882-nucleotide long non-coding RNA. RefSeq lists it as uncharacterized. NCBI's taxonomy places the organism in Eukaryota, Viridiplantae, Streptophyta, Magnoliopsida, Asterales, Asteraceae. The record is from RefSeq and is a predicted model, not a curated record. The transcript has 3 exons.